Paramormyrops kingsleyae is the source of this 1456-nucleotide non-coding RNA. NCBI's taxonomy places the organism in Eukaryota, Metazoa, Chordata, Actinopteri, Osteoglossiformes, Mormyridae. The record is from RefSeq and is a predicted model, not a curated record.
UCUUAGGGGUUAGGGUAGCGGUUUUAGGGGUUAGGGUUAUCGAUUAGCAUUUCGGUAGCCUAACUCGACAAAGUAUCUCAAUUCGACACAACACCGGUAAGUCGGAACCUUUUGAUCGAUUUCGUAAGAUUUAUUCGAGACUACCUACAAUUAAAAACAGAUUCACAACUUGGUCAGGUGGCUGCGUGUUUUGCACUCCACAUUAAUAUACACAGCAUUACAAACAAAUUGUGAGUAACAAAUUUCCGCGGCCAGCAGCUUGGUAUGCACCUGUAACGUCUUAAGUUCUUGCGUAGGCAUGAAGAAAAUGAGGCAGAAUGAAGCCUGUGACAGGAUGUCUGCCUCUGGUGACAUGAAGGCCAGUCUUUGGUGCCGCGAGGCAUGAGAUAAGAGAGGCAGCGAGGCAUGAGGAGAUACAGGUGUGGAUGGAACAAAACUUCCUUCAGCAGAACGGCUCCAAGACCGAGGCAGUCCUAGCAGGAACACCCCAUCAAAUUCAGGCAUCAUCCAUAGCUAGCAUUGCCUUCUCUGGUCACAGUGUUCCCCUCUCCUCAUCAGUCACCAAUCUUGAUGUAAAACUGGAUUAAUUUCUCACUUUUGAGCACAUUAAGCACCUUUGCAAGACCUUGUUUGUCCACCUCAGAAAUAUUGCUAAGCUUCGCCCUCCCCUCACCCUCCCUGAUGCAGAAAAGUUGGUCCAUGCUUUCAUCUCCUCCCGGCUGGACUACUGUAGGACACUCUUCAUUGGGAUCCCUAAUAAGAGUCUUCUGAGGCUGCAGUACAUCCAGAACUCUGCUGCUAGGAUCCUGAUAUGUGUUCAUAUUUCCGAUCUCUCAACACCUGUCCUUCAGUCACUUCACUGGCUUCCUGUUUCUGCCAGGAUCGAGUACAAGAUCUCUCUCCUCACCCCCUAGUGCAUUUAUGGAAACGCUCCACUUUACUUAAAAGAACUGAUGACAACUCAAACCACAACAUGACCCCCCGCUCUUCACAGUUAAAUCGCCUCCAUCCCCCCAGAGCUGAACUCGGCACGAUGGGCGAUCGGGCCUCUAUGCUGCUCCUCGCCUGUGGAAUGUCCUUCCUGACACUCAGGGCAGCUCAAUCUACUGACAGUUUUAAAAAAGGACUUAAAACCUUCCUUUUUAGCAGAUUUUAUCAUUCCUAACUUUUUGCUUUAUAGCUCUUUUUUUAGAUUGUUGAGGUUUUAUAUCACCUGAGAUUUUCUCAGAAAAUGUAAAGUGCGUUAUAAAUAAAAUGUAUUAUUAUUAUUAUUAUUGUUGUUGUUGUUGUUAUUAUUAUUAUUAAUGGAGACCAAAAGCACAAUUUCUCCAUAAACUGAGGGAUUGGUCUAGCUAGGAUAAGGGGCAUGACUGUAAUCUUCUUAGCUAUGUCACGGCUGUUACACACAAAAAUUCUGUUUCUUCUUGGAUCCUGUAAUUACUCAAUGUGCUGCUUU